RNAcentral lists this ribosomal RNA (486 nucleotides) under uncultured bacterium. Its description in RNAcentral is "partial 16S ribosomal RNA". It matches the Rfam family "Bacterial small subunit ribosomal RNA", at positions 30 to 507 of the family's 1533-position model. The record is from RNAcentral.
AUUGAACGCUGGCGGCAUGCCUUACACAUGCAAGUCGAACGGCAGCACGGGUGCUUGCACCUGGUGGCGAGUGGCGAACGGGUGAGUAAUACAUCGGAACAUGUCCUGUAGUGGGGGAUAGCCCGGCGAAAGCCGGAUUAAUACCGCAUACGAUCUACGGAUGAAAGCGGGGGACCUUCGGGCCUCGCGCUAUAGGGUUGGCCGAUAGCUGAUUAGCUAGUUGGUGGGGUAAGGGCCUACCAAGGCGACGAUCAGUAGCUGGUCUGAGAGGACGACCAGCCACACUGGGACUGAGACACGGCCCAGACUCCUACGGGAGGCAGCAGUGGGGAAUUUUGGACAAUGGGCGAAAGCCUGAUCCAGCAAUGCCGCGUGUGUGAAGAAGGCCUUCGGGUUGUAAAGCACUUUUGUCCGGAAAGAAAUCCUUGGCUCUAAUACAGUCGGGGGAUGACGGUACCGGAAGAAUAAGCACCGGCUAACUACGUG